GGAUCAGGUAGGAAUACCCGCUGAACUUAAGCAUAUCAAGACGGGGGGGA
Molecule: ribosomal RNA, 50 nt
Filed under: Trypethelium eluteriae
Lineage: Eukaryota; Fungi; Ascomycota; Dothideomycetes; Trypetheliales; Trypetheliaceae
Description: partial 28S rRNA
Source: RNAcentral